RNAcentral lists this transfer RNA (72 nucleotides) under Acrasis kona. Its description in RNAcentral is "tRNA-Glu". It matches the Rfam family "tRNA". From Rfam's summary of the family: Transfer RNA (tRNA) molecules are approximately 80 nucleotides in length. Their secondary structure includes four short double-helical elements and three loops (D, anti-codon, and T loops). Lineage: Eukaryota; Heterolobosea; Eutetramitea; Acrasida; Acrasidae. The record is from RNAcentral.
UACACCUUCGUCUAAGGGUUAGGACAUUACUCUUUCAAAGUAACGAUAUGAGUUCGAAUCUCAUAGGUGUGA